This 979-nucleotide ribosomal RNA is filed under the name uncultured bacterium. RNAcentral describes it as "bacterial SSU rRNA". It matches the Rfam family "Bacterial small subunit ribosomal RNA", at positions 10 to 983 of the family's 1533-position model. The record is from RNAcentral.
AGUUUGAUUCUGGCUCAGANCNUUNGCUGGCGGCAUGCCUAAUACAUGCAAGUCGAACGGUAGCAGACCCUUCGGGGUGCUGACGAGUGGCGGACGGGUGAGUAAUACAUGGGAAUCUGCCUGGUAGUGGGGAACAACUCGGGGAAACUCGAGCUAAUACCGCAUACGCCCUAUGGGGAAAGCGGGGGAUCUUCGGACCUCGCGCUAUCAGAUGAGCCCAUGUCCGAUUAUGCUUGUUGGUGGGGUAAUGGCCUACCAAGGCUACGAUCGGUAGCUGGUCUGAGAGGACGAUCAGCCACACUGGGACUGAGACACGGCCCAGACUCCUACGGGAGGCAGCAGUAGGGAAUACUGGACAAUGGGCGAAAGCCUGAUCCAGCAAUGCCGCGUGUGUGAAGAAGGCCUGCGGGUUGUAAAGCACUUUUAGUGGGGAAGAAAAGCUUGGGGUUAAUACCCUCAGGUCUUGACGUUACUUACAGAAAAAGCACCGGCUAACUCUGUGCCAGCAGCCGCGGUAAUACAGAGGGUGCGAGCGUUAAUCGGAAUUACUGGGCGUAAAGCGUGCGUAGGCGGCUAGAUAAGUCGGAUGUGAAAGCCCUUGGCUUAACCAAGGAAUUGCAUUCGAUACUAUUUAGCUAGAGUACGGUAGAGGGAAGCGGAAUUCUUAGUGUAGCGGUGAAAUGCGUAGAUAUUAGGAAGAACAUCAGUGGCGAAGGCGGCUUCCUGGACUGAUACUGACGCUGAGGUACGAAAGCGUGGGGAGCAAACAGGAUUAGAUACCCUGGUAGUCCACGCCCUAAACUAUGAGAACUAGAUGUUAGAAGGAUUUACCUUUUGGUGUCGCAGCUAACGCGAUAAGUUCUCCGCCUGGGGAGUACGGCCGCAAGGUUAAAACUCAAAUGAAUUGACGGGGGCCCGCACAAGCGGUGGAACAUGUGGNUUUAAUUCGAUGCAACGCGAAGAGCCUUACCUGGCCUUG